Molecule: long non-coding RNA, 854 nt
Filed under: Cyanistes caeruleus (blue tit)
Lineage: Eukaryota; Metazoa; Chordata; Aves; Passeriformes; Paridae
Description: lncRNA (ENSCCEG00000004428.1)
Source: RNAcentral
GAAACAGGGAGCGUGGACCAGCAAAACAUGCAGAGAAGGGACUCAGUAGAGCUUUCUCAGGAGCUGAGUUUUAUUUAUUUUUUUUUUAAUUUUUUUUUUUUUUGGUUGGUAUUUUUCUUUAAAAUCCUGUGCACCCAAUGAAGGAUGAAUGAAGGUGGUAUUCUUUGUUUGCUUGUUUGUUUCUUUUGGCAGAGAGAUGUGACUCCCUUUGAAAACCCGAGUAUAUUUUCCAUUUGUUUGCUGUUUUGCUCAUGUCUGCAUCAAGGCAGACAGACAGUGUGGUUAUUGGAACUGGACCCCUUCAGAGUUCAUCAUUGAUGUCACCAAAUGAGUUAGCUCUAAGUACAGCUGGACCAGAAAUAAGCUGCUCUCACCAGAGUAAAAGGAAGAGGAUGGGUAGUGUGAGAAUAUUGAAAACAGGAGUGAUCUUGUCGUUUUUCUUGAUCUUUUUAAAGAAGUCCCUAACCAAGGCUGAUUUCCAGAGGUGCCUGCACAGAUGAGGAUGCACUGUGUCCACCCUCUCCUUCCCUACCAGGGGGUCUGCGGGUGCCCUGGCAGUGUGAGCAAACAGCACAUGAUGAACAGCACAAAAGAGCAGCAGACAGACUGCAAAGCAGAUAAACUGUGCAAAGACUGCCCAGUCAUCCCAGGAAAAGAACAAGUAAGGCAAGGGAAAAAAUUUGGAGACAUAAAAUGUGGUUUGGUGAUAGAACGAACAAAACCAAAAUCAAAGUAUGUCGGAAUCCAGCUAAAAUAAUCAUGAGAAGGACAACUGAAAGAAGGGAUGAACAAAAAACCCAUAAAACUGAAUUGUCUUCAAAACAAAGAAAAUUAAAGGAUGGUAAGAGACAUAU